This 1211-nucleotide unclassified non-coding RNA is filed under the name Leishmania donovani. RNAcentral's name for it is "gene:LdHU3.10.1720(CDS-product:hypothetical_prote in_conserved)". Lineage: Eukaryota; Euglenozoa; Kinetoplastea; Trypanosomatida; Trypanosomatidae. The record is from RNAcentral.
AGCGGAAGGCUUAAAAGCUAUGCAGCGGAUGGUAUACGUUUACAGACACCUUUUCUAGAUGGUUCUCCGACACUAUAGAUGGCUUCCACUCGAACUUGAGCCGGAUUACAAAGACGGCUACACAUGCGACCACUGCCAUCAGGACUUUCUCGAAGCUCCAUUUUAUCAUGAAGAAGCUACUGGCACCGACUACUGCCUCGAAUGUGGCAAUGCCGCCGGCUACACCCCGUUUAGCGGCCUCGUAGCCUCACUUUUAUUUAGUAGUCAAGACAACGUCCUACGAGACUCGGACUCAAACUCGAUCGCGUUGUUUGCAUACAGAGUGGAUUCGCAAAGUGCUGGAAUCUGCUUUGCAAACGGAUCCAAUCUGGUCGUUCACCUGCAGAUGAACGGCAACAUUCGAGACGCUAUAUUUUACACCGUGAAAGAAGGUUCCAUAGAGUCAAAGCUGCGUGUGUCGUCGACCGACCUUUCGCGUCGUUUUUCGUGGCUGAGCAGCGGUCUUCUCAAGCCCUUCGACGUUGAAGUACAGCUGCACACACUUCCUGUAGUACCGGUUCCGUUAGAUGACUUUUGUGUCUUAGCGUACGGCGCAACUGAUGAUCUCAUAGAGAUACACCUCAACGAGGCGUACUCGCAGCUCUUGGACGUGCGUGACGGCAAGGAAAUCGUUACUAGAGCGGAAAUGCCUGUGUGUGCGUUUUCCUCUCACGAAACGGUUGGGUGCUCAAAAUCGGAAGUGAUGGACGUGCUUCGUCUUCUCCGCACUAAAGCUGAAGCGCAGAAGAGGUCAUAGGCGCUCUGUGGCCAGAUGUCCUUGUCUACUAUUUUAUGACUCCUUCCUCGUGGCUUUGGAGAUGGGGCGAGCUCGAUGAAGACAAUUACGUGCGCGCACUCCAUAGAAGACCGUUGCGCUACGGGGCAUAUAUGGUGUUGCAUCAUCACCAGGAACUCUCAGCAGAGAAAGAAAAAAGGCCCCUUUUGUGCUGGAGAAGAUAUAGUGCGUUAGGCUCUAUGAUCCUCUGUAUUUUCUUCAUGACACGUUUUUGUAUAUCUGUCUAUUGAAGCUCGAACGGGAGUUGCAGGUAUCACUGGAAUUACCUGCUUAGGAUAAGGUUGCACCUCGGGUGUUUUCCCUUCACAUGCAAUCGAGUAGCACUGUCAUCUGUCCCGCUCUUCUCUGUACUUUCUCGUAAAUAUACACCAAACAG